UACAGAGGUCUCGAGCGUUGUUCGGAUUCAUUGGGCGUAAAGGGUACGUAGGUGGCGCUGUAAGUCGGGUGUGAAAUCCUGAGGCUUAACCUCGGAACUGCAUUCGAUACUGCGGCGCUUGAGGACUGGAGAGGAGACUGGAAUUCAUGGUGUAGCAGUGAAAUGCGUAGAGAUCAUGAGGAAGACCAGUGGCGAAGGCGGGUCUCUGGACAGUUCCUGACACUGAGGCACGAAGGCCAGGGGAGCAAACGGG
RNAcentral lists this ribosomal RNA (253 nucleotides) under uncultured bacterium. RNAcentral's name for it is "partial 16S ribosomal RNA". It matches the Rfam family "Bacterial small subunit ribosomal RNA", at positions 524 to 776 of the family's 1533-position model. The record is from RNAcentral.